This 516-nucleotide ribosomal RNA is filed under the name uncultured bacterium. RNAcentral's name for it is "partial 16S ribosomal RNA". It matches the Rfam family "Bacterial small subunit ribosomal RNA", at positions 28 to 523 of the family's 1533-position model. The record is from RNAcentral.
GACGAACGCUGGCGGCGUGCCUAAUACAUGCAAGUCGAGCGGACGUUUUUGAAGCUUGCUUUAAAAACGUUAGCGGCGGACGGGUGAGUAACACGUGGGCAACCUACCUUAUCGACUGGGAUAACUCCGGGAAACCGGGGCUAAUACCGGAUAACAUCUAGCACCUCCUGGUGCCGGAUUGAAAGAGGGCUUCUUGCUCUCACGAUAAGAUGGGCCUGGGGCGCAUUAGCUAGUUGGAGAGGUAAUGGCUCCCCAAGGCGACGAUGCGUAGCCGACCUGAGAGGGUGAUCGGCCACACUGGGACUGAGACACGGCCCAGACUCCUACGGGAGGCAGCAGUAGGGAAUCUUCCGCAAUGGACGAAAGUCUGACGGAGCAACGCCGCGUGAGUGAUGAAGGGUUUCGGCUCGUGAAGCUCUGUUAUGAGGGAAGAACACGUACCGUUCGAAUAGGGCGGUACCUUGACGGUACCUCAUCAGAAAGCCACGGCUAACUACGUGCCAGCCGCCGCCGUAA